AAAACAUGAAAAAGAAAAAAAACAUGAAAAAGAAAAAAAACAUGAAAAAGAAAAAAGACGUGAGGAAGAAAAAAAACAUGAAAAAGAAAAAAGACGUGAGAAAGAAAAAAAACAUAUAAAAAAUAAUUACAAACAUUAUGAUACAACAAUAAAAAACAAUUUAGAAAUGGAAAACACCCAACAACAAAACACAUCAUCUUCAUCAUUUGCUUCAGGAGAUUCAGAAAGUUCAGCAGACUCAUCUGCUUCAGCACAAUCCUAUCGUUCUAACUCAGUUUAUUCUUACGGAUCUAUUGAAAAUAAAAGUACUAAAUCAGAAAAAUAUGACUGGAUUAGUAAACAAGAAGUAGAAAAAAGCAAAAACAAAAUGAUCGAAUUACUGGCACUAUUAAAAGGAAAACAUAAUGAGAAACUUGUUGAAAACACUCAGUCAUUUGUUAACUCGUUAAAAAUUAAUAAACCACAAAACAAACAUAACUUACAGGAAAUAUAUAAUAACUUAAAAGCUAUAAAGGAAAGUAUUAAAAAUACUGAUGAUGACACGGAAAAUAACAUUUUAUCAUUGAUUGAAACACAGGCCAACGAAAUUCAAAUAUUUGGAAAUGUAAAUAAAAAAAAUAAAAAAAAACAAAAAAAAAUAAAAAAAAAUAAAAAAAAAUAAAAAAAGAUAAAAAAAGAUAAAAAAAACAAAAAAAAAUAAAAAAAAAAAUAAAAAAAGAUAAAAAAAAAUA
Molecule: long non-coding RNA, 731 nt
Filed under: Piliocolobus tephrosceles (Ugandan red Colobus)
Lineage: Eukaryota; Metazoa; Chordata; Mammalia; Primates; Cercopithecidae
Description: lncRNA (ENSPTEG00000013616.1)
Source: RNAcentral